This 468-nucleotide ribosomal RNA is filed under the name uncultured bacterium. RNAcentral's name for it is "partial 16S ribosomal RNA". It matches the Rfam family "Bacterial small subunit ribosomal RNA", at positions 28 to 507 of the family's 1533-position model. The record is from RNAcentral.
GACGAACGCUGGCGGCGUGCUUAACACAUGCAAGUCGAACGGAAAGGCCCUGCUUUUGUGGGGUGCUCGAGUGGCGAACGGGUGAGUAACACGUGAGUAACCUGCCCUUGACUUUGGGAUAACUUCAGGAAACUGGGGCUAAUACCGGAUAGGAGCUCCUGCUGCAUGGUGGGGGUUGGAAAGUUUCGGCGGUUGGGGAUGGACUCGCGGCUUAUCAGCUUGUUGGUGGGGUAGUGGCUUACCAAGGCUUUGACGGGUAGCCGGCCUGAGAGGGUGACCGGCCACAUUGGGACUGAGAUACGGCGCAGACUCCGACGGGAGGCAGCAGUGGGGAAUAUUGCAAAAUGGGCGGAAGCCGGAUGCAGCAACGCCGCGUGCGGGAUGAAGGCCUUCGGGUUGUAAACCGAUUUCGCCUGUGACGAGGCGUGAGUGACGGUAAUGGGUAAAGAAGCACCGGCUAACUACGUG